AAUUGCUUGUACGGAAUAUAUAUGGCUUUUACGGUUACGGCUAGCCGACACAUCAUCAUCAAAUGCUACCAAAAAAAUAUUUCCACUGUUUGGAGGAAUAGUAACAAAUUGACGCUGCGUGGUGAAGUGUCGAUUUUUUAGUUGUUGUUAGUAUGUCUUAACGAGGCAAAUUUCUCUCGUUUUAUAUUUGAUAGUGCGAAUAUAUACAAGUACAGUGCUCGCUCGCCGAUGGUUAAAAUAUAUCCACCUUUAUUGUUUUAAAUAAAAUUAAAGUUGUGUUUUUUAUAAAAUAAACAUAAAAAAUUCAUAAAAAAAUUCAGUAAAUAAUAAUGUGAAAUAAAAUAAUAAUAAAAGUUAAAAAAGACCAUAUCACUUGUUCUUGGCACAUUUUGAUAACAUCAUUUUUUCCUAAUAAACUGCUAUAUAAUAUGCUCCUUCACUAAGGACAAUUAAGAAUAAAGUUCCUAUUUAAUAAAUACUAAACUUUAAGAAAAUGAACAAAUUUGUAAAUAAAAUAAUUAAGUAUAAGUAGGAUGAAAAAUAUGGUCACAAAAAACAAAGAAAUGUAAAAUAUAACAGUACAAAGCGCGUGAAAUAAUAAACAAAAACUUAUCAACGAGUACAAAGCGAAUGGAUGCAGCAAUAAGCUUUUUCAAGUCUUCUCAUUGUUCUCUGACUGAAUAGUAAUGAGAGUUAAAAGAUCGUUAGAGCAAAAUUUCACAAAUUCAAUUUGAUGAAUAAACCUAACACAAGCAACGCAGUUGGUCAACGUGAACUGUACGCAAUCACAUUUUCCAGAAAAUGUUCAAAGCUUCUACAAAACUGCAUAAACGUGUUCAAUCUCACUUCGAACACUUGUCACUAACUGCUUGACAAUACCACUUCAGAUCGAGCGAUAGAAAUAAACUUAUUUGGCACAAGAUCACACGGUCUUAAUUUUCAAAGUGAAUCGUACGUAAGCAUUGUAAUUGAAUAUCGCUAAUAAUGCCUUUAAGCUUUCAAUUGUAAAGCUUAGAAACACAUAGGCUUAAUUCUAUUCUAACCAUAACCAAUGUGCCCGUAAUAUGUCAGACUUACCCUUAAAACCAAUAGAGCGGAAGUCAAUAACAACAAGGGAAAUAUCGCCAACAACAGUUACAAACGCAGGAAUUGCAACCGUAACAGCAACGGAAACCACUGCUGCGAAAUCAAAACCCAAGCUGUCAAAGUUUGCUACUUUAAAAUCUCACAACAAAGCACAAUACUUAAUCCCUUUACAACAUAAAGAAACAGCAUACAAAGCAACAUCACAGUCGUUGCAACAAUCGGCUAUUGAUAUAUUUGCGGCAGAUAUUAAGAAACCAACUUCACCACAGCAUCUCGAGCAUCUGACCAGAUCCAAAGCAGUUUUUGAACGGAAACGUCGACGUAGAUGUAAAAACAAACGAUCCUGUUCCUUAGUUAAUGUAAAAGUAGCUGACUUAGACGAGAACCUUGAAACGGAUGACCAAGAACCAAUGUUAAGAGCAGAUGUCGAACUUUUUCAAGGAAAAAUCGUUUUCAAUUUAGAUGGUAAUGCAUUCAUAAUCGCUACAGAAAGCUCGACGCAAGAUUCAAUUUUGAAUGCAAAAACAGUACAAAAAACGACUGAAUCUAAGCAAUUACUGGCGUCAAACGUGGUUGGGGAAACAAAUAUUGCAACUAUAAACUUAACAACAACUACUGUAGCAAGUGCGACAACAACAACAUUGAAUACAUCAUCGACUACGUUAGAGGAAGCACCAGGUGGUCAAGAUGGACAAAGACCCGAUGCGUUAAAAUGCAGCGCAAGCCCUCGUAUACAUUCAUUUCGAAUUGUGAGUGCUCAGGAUGCUACAACUGCCAACGUUGCUAACACUACCGCCACCGACAAAAGCAGUGUGGAGAAAACGGAGUUCAGAAAAUUGUAUAUCGAACAGCAACAGCGUAGCCGAUACAGCACUUUUGACGACAACGAUAGCGAUAGUAGUAAUGGCCACAAAAUAUCUUCCAAAAUACAAAAGCCGAUAUUGAUGUGUUUUAUAUGCAAACUAUCAUUUGGGAACACAAAAUCAUUUAGCUUACAUGCUAACACAGAACAUCAACUGACACUACAAGCAAAAGAACAGCAUUUAUUAAACCGCGAAUACUCGAGCGUAAUUAUACAGCCGCAAAAUAUGGAUGAACGGCCGCAAAUAUCAUUCCUUGAGCCAAUUGAUGUGCUCAAUGUAAUCCAAAACGACAAUUUAAAUUCUGAGACUGAUAUUCAAUUUAAUGAGGGUACAUCACAGGUAUUUUCUUGUAGAAUAGAUAGUACGGUUGAUACUUCCAACUCUGAGAAAUCGACUGCAGGAUGUGUAAUACGUGAAAAAUCGGAAAAACCAGCGCCAAUAUCGUCACACUCUAAUUCACUAUCGCCAUCUUCACCGUCAACUUACCCAGAGUCAUCAGUAGUUCCAAAAACGCAGACAGCGUUGUCACCAUCAAAAACAGUACCAAAUACGUUGUCCAGCGCAAUAGAAUGUAUUAACGAUAGCCAUCUAUUGCUAACAACCUCAUUCUCCAAAUGUAUGCUCCAGGAGCAGCAAUAUGAGGUGAACGUUCCUGUGCCAACGAUAGCAGUAACAACACUGUUAUCAGGCCCUAAAUUUGACAGCAGUGAACAACAACAGCAGCAAAAAAUUAAGGCAAGUGCACCCAUAGAAUCCGUCGACAGUACAGUCCAAAGUGCAUCGAUAUCACCACCACUUUUUCCCUCAACAGAAAAUAUGUUAGGAGCUUCCACACUGUUAUUACCAAAAAAAGAAUCAGAAAAUAUUACUAAACUGGACGAGACACAUAGUUUUGACACUAGAAUUACAUCUGGCAGCGUUUUAUGCUCAAAUGCUGAUGUUCAAUUGAAGCCCAGAUUGAUAGCGUCCCCAAUCCCUACAACCAAAAACACCUCUAUGACCUGUGAUAUGGGCAAUAAUGACAAACGCGGUUUAUAUUCAGACAUCCUUAGCCCACCUUUGUCAACAUUUCGGGAAAGCCAUGAUAAAAUGCUGCAAAUGUCCACAUUAGCAGCUAAUGCUCCAAUUACUCAAGGUGACUGUGAACAUUUUCAAGAGCCUUCAGGAACAGUAUCAGAGGAAGAUAAUAUGUUGAAUUCAACAGAUACACUGGCAGCCACAGUUACAUUUUUGCAGCAGCAGCAACGAAAAAUUGCAACAAUGUCCAGUAGCUCCUUUGACCCCCCUCAACCGGGAUUAGUGACCAUUGCACCCACGCCUACUCAACUCAGCUGCUUACAAGCUUCUUUGGCAGCUUUAUCUGAUGACCUAAAUUUCAACUGUGGUACUACAGAUGCACACAAAACUAACGCUAAAUUGUUCACUGAUUUUUUGCAACAGCAUCUUACUUUACAGCAGCAAAAAGCCUUUUCCGACAUUAGUGGCAAUUAUUCCGAACAUGCCGACCAUAACGAUGGCGAAAAUUGCGAAAUUCAACAAUUAAAGACGCCUCCAUAUCACAUUUCAAACCACCAGUUUACCAACAACACGUCGCAAUUCUCGCCAAAUCGCAAUAAUGGUAGUUGUACCAAUAGCGCUAUUAUGAAAUCUCCUGCACACAUGGCCACAUCUCCUACAGCUGUCAAUGUCUCAACUGCGGCAGUAACAGUGACAGCGACAACCCAGCAACAACAUGCAGCUGCUGCUGUAGCAGUCGCUGCUGCAGCAGCAGCAGCGGCCGCAGUCUCAGUGGCUAACAAUACCCCAAGUUUUACUAUCGGCGCAUGUUCGGACCACAUCAACGGACGGCCAUUAGGCGUUGAAUGCGCUCGGUGCGAAAUGAUUUUAAAUUCAACGCGACUUAACACCGGCGUUCAAAUGUCAACUCGCAAUUCUUGUAAAACAUUGAAAUGUCCUCAAUGCAAUUGGCACUACAAAUAUCAGGAGACACUCGAGAUUCAUAUGCGUGAAAAACACCCGGAUGGUGAGAGUGCUUGUGGCUACUGUUUGUCAGGUCAACAGCAUCCUCGUCUAGCACGCGGCGAGUCAUAUUCUUGUGGAUACAAACCGUAUCGGUGUGAAAUUUGUAAUUACUCUACAACGACAAAAGGCAAUCUUUCUAUUCAUAUGCAGUCAGAUAAGCAUUUGAAUAAUAUGCAGGAGUUGAAUAGUUCACAAAGUAUGUUAGCAGCCGCCGUCGCUGCUGCUAAUUGUGGAAAAGCGGAUGUUGCAUCCAAAAUGUUGAUGUCCAACAAUGCUGCAGCUGCUGCUCAACAACAACAGCAACAGCAGGCACUGCCGCAGUCUCAGCCGCAACAACCGCAUUCUACGCUUGUCGCCAGUUCGUCAAUGAUCAGUAGUGGAGGUCCUUCUAUAAACGCUGGUGGUCGCGCCAGUGUUGAUGGCAUUGGAACUAAUUGCAGCAUGCUCAAUAAAAAUAAGCCGUCCUUUCGUUGUGACAUUUGCAGUUAUGAAACAUCUGUGGCACGUAAUCUUCGUAUACAUAUGACCAGCGAAAAGCAUACGCAUAAUUUGGCCGCACUGCAAAAUAAUAUCAAGCACAUACAAGCCUACAGCUUUUUACAGCAGCAUCAGCAAGUAAUGGCCGCACAUCAGCAACAACAAUUGGCUGCAGCAACACAGGUGCCACAAUCACAAUUACCAGCAUUGGCCAAUAGUUUUUUGCCAGAAAUCGCUUUAGCUGAUUUAGCUUAUAAUCAAGCGAUCAUGAUACAAUUGCUGCAGCACAACUCUGUUAGUCAACAACAGCAGCAACAUGAAUCUGUUGCCAAAAUGCAGAUAAAAACUUCACCAUGUUCCUCACCGCGUUCCAUGCAAAUAGAACAGCAGUCAACAGUUCACCAGCAGCAACAGCAACUCCAACAAUUACGUCAACACUUGCAGCAGUCUUAUUCACCUAACAAUAGUUCAUCAUUAUUACCUUCGGCGGAUCCGUUCAGCACUAGCGAUGUACAUUUUUCUUCCAACGUUAGUGGUAGCUGCAGCAACGACGAAUCGUUGGAGCUACCCAUAUAUGCCGAUCCAUGUCCAAAAAGCGUCUAUAGUUGUUUAGUAUGCGGGGUGUACGGCACAAACAUUUUAGACGAACUAAACCAACAUUUGUUAAUUGAUCGCUCACGUAGCUGCAAGAAGCAGCAAUCAACACCAACCAAUACGGUCAAAAGCAGUUGCACUGAGAAAGCUAAUGUAACUAAUAGCAAUGAAGUGAUGGUGAUUCUAAACAACAAUUACAUUUGCCGAUUGUGCAACUAUAAGACUAAUUUAAAAGCAAACUUUCAGCUGCACAGCAAAACAGACAAACAUCUACAAAAAUUGAACUAUAUAAAUCAUGUACAUGAAGGCGGUACACAAAACGAAUAUAAGCUAAAACACUUACACCUAGCUUCCAACACAGUACAACUUAAAUGUAACUGUUGUGAUUUCUACACAAAUUCCAUCCAAAAGCUGUCAUUACACACACAACAUAUGCGUCAUGAUACAAUGCGUAUAAUUUUCCAACAUUUACUACAUAUCAUGGAACAGCAAAAUUUUGAGCGAAACAAAACCGAACAAAUGCCACCACACUCAAAAACUCAUUCACUUAAAGAUGCAGUUGAAAUUGUUCCAAAUAUUCGUGAGUCGCACAGUGUUAUGCCUGUUCAUGAAAAUGAUGGAAGUCCCACCAACCGUAGCAGCAGCAUUGUAGUGGAAGACACGCCCCAGUCGAUGCAAAAAUCUUUAACAUGCCAAUUGUGUGGUUUUAGCACGUUCACGUUGCUUAAUAUGAUCCAACACGUAAAAAGUAUGCGUCAUAUGCAAAUAGAACAGUUUGUUAAUCUACAACGACGCAGCGAGCAACUUGAUCCUCCUAGUCUCGAUGAUAUUUUCAAGGUGGUAGAACGCCCUACACUACAGUCUUUGGCACUAACAGUUGCUGCAAGACAAGAAGAAAAUAACAGAAUUGAGAAUGUCAGUACUACAUCUGUAUCGCCAUUCGGCAAUUUUCCGGUGCCAAUGGCACGCUUACCAAACGAUGAUUUCGGCUGUAUUACGUCUAGUAGAGAUCACAACUCUUUUUCACCGUCAUCUAGCUCCUCAACUGCUUCAGGAAACACCAGUGUACGCAACAAAAGCUAUAAUAGUGUCAAUAUUUUUAACUUUCAAACUAUUAACGAUGAUAAAGAUGCUUCAUCAUCAGUCUUGCCGGGAGGUAGCCUCUCCGUCAUGCCCUCAGUUGUAUUUAAAUGCAACAAUUGUGAUUUCUUUGCACAUUCUAAAACAGAAAUGGAACUGCACCUGAGUGCAGUACAUCCUCAAACUGAGCCAGAUUACAUUAGCAUCCCAACGAACUCUGCUGCCAUAGAAGCAUUUCAAGCGGCUAUAGCGGCAGCGACAGCAGCAGCUUCUGCGGUGACUGCCACCUGUGCUCCUAGUAAUAAAUCUUAUUCAGAAAAUGAUAAUUUCUCAACUAUUGUUAAAAGAGAGCGUCUCUGUACCCCAAAAGAUGAGGAAAACGUAAAGUCCACAGAUGUACAAAAUACAAUGUCGCUACAGGAUGUGUCGACAGUUACACCGUGGCUCACAUCGACCCCGAAUAUAAUAAGUAAUAACGAAACUUCAGCAGCUAUAGUUCAACCCAAAUCAAUUCAUAAUGUGUUACGUGAGCUGGAAAAGACCGCUGAACAAGAAGAACAGCUAAUUGAGGAUACAAGUGGAGUCAACGCAUUGGUUGAAAGUACCAAAACAAUUUCCGGAGAAUCAGUCAACGUUCAGUGCCCCCUCUGUACAGAUACAUUUGAUAGCAAACAGACAUUGGAAAUGCAUUUGAUGAAUGUACAUAGUGUGAAUCGCGAUGGUUUGUCACGUCUCCUACAAUUAGUAGACACUAGCGCUUGGGAUUUGAACGGUAAAACCUCAGUAACGCUUACUGUAGCUAAAGAGUGUAAAGGCUCAAAUAUUGCCACCGAAACAACAACUGAACAAACUAUCACUGGUAAUUUUAAUAUUAAAGCAUCGACAGAAUUAGACUUAUCGCUAAUGGAAGUUUCAAAUGACACGCCUUUAAAUCUCAACGUUUCACAUACCUCGACUUACAUGCAUUCCAUGGAAUCGCUAAAUAAUAAUAAACUAUCAUGUGAACAGUGUGGUUCAAAAUUCAAGCAUGAAUUACAAUUGUUGCAACAUGCGCAAAAAAUGCAACAUUUCAUAAUGUUGCCAAAUGGUGAUCACCGUUGUUUGGCUGCUAGUCAUCUAAGUCGACCGUGUCAAUCGACAUUUCCCACUCAAGCUGCAAUGGUCAUCCAUUAUAAAAAUACUCACACUAGCUUGGUCAUAUCCGAGCGACAUGUGUAUAAAUACCGAUGUAAACAUUGUUCACUUGCAUUUAAAACUCAAGAAAAACUAUCUACCCAUUUGCUAUAUCACACUAUGCGCGAAGCCACCAAAUGCAUGUUCUGCCAACGAAAUUUUCGUACUACUCAAGCGCUACAAAAGCACAUCGAUCAAACACAUCAUAGUAGCGGCGAUCAACAUGUCGCCAGUAACAGUCCAUCGACAGCAUUAAGCUGUAGCGGCCGUGGAUCCCCAGCCUUACAGAUGAGUCACGUCCAAAACAAAACCCAAUUAAAUGAAGUUAUAUCAGACAAUGCAGCUAAAAACCAAGACAUCAAUGAUUUAGCAGUUCGUGAAUCGCCUCCAAUGACACCGAAAGCAAAUGAAUCUCCCAACGCCGCGCCUUCUCCAUUACCAGCUAACAUAUUGCAAGACCAGCAGCAACAACAACAUGUUGCUGCUUUCACCGCUGCGUUAUUAAAUCAACCAUUACAGCAACAACAGCAUAUCAGCGGCGAUGAGCUAACAGAGAGCGGUGGCCAUCUGACGCAGCAUUUACAAAUGAAACCACGUAGUUCCCUCUUAACACAAAAAUAUCUUCACCAGCAGAAUCUUCAAAACAUUCAACAAUUGCCACAAUUGACUGCAGCAGCAUCUACAUCCGGAUUGCAAUUGAAUCCUGUCGAGAUGUUUAAUUUAAUGCAGUUUCAUCACAUUAUGUCAAUGAACUUUAUGAAUCUUGCACCGCCGCUUAUAUUUGGGGUCGGCACUAAUUCUGGAUCUGGUGGCAAUGUUGAUUUGUUAACCUCCACUCACACACCUAAAGUUACUCACAACACAAGUGCCAACGCUCUUCAAUGUGGAAACGAUAUGUCGGUACCACGCACAUCAGUGUCGCCACGAGCGGACCUAAUAGGUACAUUGCAGCAACAUCCUCAGUCCCAAUCGCAGCAAUCUGCACCAACAAAUACCGUUCAGAUGGGAAGUAAUCAGAAACGUGCUCGGACGCGUAUCACUGACGACCAGCUAAAAAUUCUGCGAGCCCACUUUGAUAUUAAUAAUUCACCAAGCGAAGAAAGUAUAAUGGAAAUGUCACAAAAAGCGAAUUUGCCAAUGAAGGUCGUCAAGCAUUGGUUUCGGAAUACGUUGUUUAAAGAACGUCAAAGAAACAAAGACUCCCCCUACAACUUUAAUAAUCCACCAUCUACAACACUCAAUUUAGAAGAAUACGAACGCACCGGACACGCAAAAGUUAUGCCGCUAAACGAGGAUUUAUCAAUGUCAUCGCAUAACUCUAAGCACCAACAACAGAAGCAAAAUAUGCAUACGUCUAAUUCCAAAAACAAUUCAAAAGAAAAACCAACCCCUAUGUCGGACAUAUGUGGCGAUUCCUCGUUAUUAAUUGAAAUCAAAACUGAACCGUUCGAUGAUAAUAUUGAGCCACACAUUACAACUCCAGGGAGUCCACAACGUCAAAAUGAACAGCAGCAAUCACAAGAACAAAGCCAACGAGAACAGCAUAAGAAAGACGAGAAAGAUUUAUUGAGCACGUCAUCGACAUUGCUGCUUAGUAAACGACAACAGUAUUUAUCGGCAUUGCCAGCGACUGAACAUCAACAACAACUUCUUGAAACGCCAGAGAACACAGCAGUGGAAACGGCUGCUGUUACGCCGUUGCAGCAGCAUAAUCACCAACAACAACAUUUGUCUGGCCAAUCAAAUCAAAAUAUUCACCAGCAACAAUCACAGCAUAUCAACCUAUAUAGUUAUGAAACCAAAUCAGAAAGCGGCAGUUCGGACAUCCUCUCCAGACCUCAGUCACCAAACAACAGUUCUACAGUUGUAGCCACUCACUAUGCCAGCAUUAAUGAGUUAAUAAACCAACAAUUGGACAAUUUGCCGCUCGGCCAAAAUAGCAGCAAUAUAAAUGCUGCCAACAUGCACGGUAACAACAUGGGUCCGCCGAAAAACUUUCAAAGCAGCAAAUCUUUCGAUAAAAAUUCGCCGUCUUCUCAGUUUGACACCAAUUCGAAUUCAUCGAAUGCAUCGUCCACAUCUAGCGGAAAGCGCGCAAAUCGCACACGCUUUACGGACUAUCAAAUUAAGGUACUACAGGAAUUCUUUGAGAAUAACUCCUAUCCAAAGGAUAGCGAUUUGGAGUAUUUAAGUAAGCUAUUAUUGCUUUCUCCACGAGUUAUUGUUGUCUGGUUUCAGAAUGCUCGCCAAAAACAGCGGAAGAUUUAUGAAAAUCAACCAAAUAACUCCCUUUACGAAACUGAAGAGAAAAAACAUAAUAUUAACUACGCCUGCAAAAAGUGUAAUAUGACAUUUCAGCGCUAUUACGAGUUGAUACGCCACCAGAAAAAUCAUUGCUUUAAAGAAGAAAAUAAUAAAAAGUCGGCCAAGGCACAAAUAGCCGCAGCACAGAUCGCACAAAAUCUCAGCUCAGAAGACUCCAAUUCCUCGAUGGAUAUAAAUAAUAGCAGUGCAUAUCAAUUACAUCAUCAACAUAUUUCUAAUGCUGGAGCAACAGCGGUGUUGUCAAGUACUGCCAACGUUUCCAGCACAUCACCCAGCAGCGCAGCUCCUGACCUUACAUCGCCACAGCAUUUAUUUAGUAAAUCGUCAAUGUCAAUGACUGAUUUUAGUCCAUCCACUACACCCACUCCGCCACAAACACAACGCGAGCGUAGCGAUAGCAGUGAAUUGCUGCCGCAAGGUCCAGUGCACAAGUCAAAAUUCGAAUGUGACAAAUGCAAAUUACAAUUCAGUUACUACGAACAUUUCCGCGAGCAUCAGUUAUUACAUCUAGUGAAUCCUAGCUUAUUUACCACACAAAUCACAAACUUACCAGACGCUUAUGGUUCAUUUGGCAGCAUAUUGCAAAGUUUACAGCAGGUUGCAACUGCCAGUGCCACGCAUCAGCAGCACCAUCAAUUCCUGGAACAGCAAGACCAACCACCCGCCAAAAAACGUAAGUGUUCUGAAACAUCUUCAACAACAGAUGAAGUGCCAGGAAUUUGUGGCUCUGGUGAUGGUGAAAUCAGCAGCUCUGCCUCAUUUUCAAAAAGUAAAAGAUACGAUUUUUUAUAUCAGUAUUUUAUGCAAAACGAAAGCAACAAUGAAUUGAAGCAACAAUUUCAAGCACAACACAAAAAAUCAAAUGAACCAGAAAUCGAAAUAGAAUAUUUAGCAAACUUUUACCAUCAAAGUGAGUUACGAAAGCGUAGUAAUUAUGAUUUCUUGUAUCAAUAUUAUCAAAAAAAUGAACACAUAAAGCAAAUGAGUGCUUUGCCGUCCCAAGCGGGAUUUUUCGGUAGUGAGAAUAAGCCAAAUAUAGAUGUUCUACUACAGUACUAUCAACUGAAUGAAUCAAAAAAGUUUUUUCAGUUAAAUGCCUCGAACCAAGAAAUAAAUGACCACACGGCAGCGUCGCCAAUAUCGACAUCACAUGUCCAACGUGUAAAUAAUCCGAUACCAAUAUCGACUAGUGACCAUACAACCACACCUAGAGUUGAUCGGUAUGAUAUAACCGAUAUGAGUUUGUUCAAAAACUCUUUGGAUGUCCUUAAUAGUACUAUUAAUUUUCCAGAUUACGAUAAUGACAACAACGACCACGAAAAAAGUAGUAAUGGUUGUGGUAUGGAUGUUGACGACGCUGAAAUUUAUACUGAUACCGAUGAUCAUAUUAAUGACAAUAACCAAAAAUCGAAUGAAAUCUAUGGUCACAAAAGCCAAAUAAACGUAGUGAAAAGGAGUAACGAUACUGAUAACAAGGAUUAUAAGCAAGUGGCUAAUAAAUUAGCGAAAAUAGAUCAAAUUAAUAAACUAGCUACUAACCUACAAUCUCCAUCUUCUUAUGGCAAUGAUCAACAUAAGCUCAAGAAUUUAAGUAAAUCUCUGGUCAGAUGUGUAAAAAAUCAAAAAGAUAAUCUGGCAAAGCGUAAAGCAUCAAAUGAGUCAUCAAAAACAAAAGCGACAACAACUACCAACUUUAACAAUGACCAUAUUGAUAAUUUAAAAGAUUUUCUUCAUGUCAAUCAAAAAUCCGAAUCGACAGAAAAAAGUAAACAGCAGAAGUAUUAUAACGAUUUACUGCAAGCACAAAAUGAAACCAACGGCCUUGGAAAUAAUGAAUUAGCCCUACAAACAAUGGAUAAGAGACAGUUACCAGAGACUCCAAUAUCAUCACCGAAUUCCACUACAAAUUCAAAUAAUAAACCUACCGUUGGGUCAUCGAACACAACAGCAGACACAGUCACUGGUAUUACUGAAAAACAACAAAGCAAACGUUUACGCACUACAAUACUGCCAGAGCAAUUAAAUUUUCUAUAUGAAUGCUAUCAAAACGAAUCGAACCCAAGUAGAAAAAUGCUUGAGGAGAUCGCAAAAAAAGUUAAUCUUAAAAAACGGGUUGUACAAGUUUGGUUCCAAAACUCACGUGCCAAAGAUAAAAAAUCACGCAAUCAACGCUUUACCGCUAUAUCCGAUGACAGUAACUACGAGGACGCUUCGCAAAAUAACCGAGAUUAUGGACUGUUUCAAAAAAAUGCAUUGAAAUCCAUUAGAAGACACGGCAGCAAGGACGCGAACUUUUUACCUGACUCUAAUAUUAGUAAUAACACCAACACUGGAAUGGAAUUGGGCGGAUGUAAUUUAUCCCAACUGUCUCAAGUAAACAUUCAGCAACAUGCCUUAUCUAUUGAGCACAUAUGUAAAGUAAAAAAAUUAUUGGAGAAAACCGCUGUUGAGGUCAAACUUAAUAUCGAUUCUAAAAUCUUCUCAACUGCAGGAACUGAUGACAACGUAGAAUAUGGGAAUAAGCAAAAUGCAACUGACAAGCCAAAUACUAACUCCGAUUUAAAAGAAAGAAAAUAUGUCACGAGUGACGAAGCUGAUUUUAACAGUACUCAUGAUAGUAAUUUAAAGGCGCAUAUGGAUAAUGAUAUUGCCGGUAGCGAUAGACUUGGCACAUUUACGAGAAUAUAUAAGGAACUUAAACUACAAAAUGCAAAGAAACGGGCCAUCGAUUAUACAUCCAAUAACCAAAACAGCGAAUUAAUGGAAUGGUAUGAACGUGGCAAUAUUAAUAAUGAAAGCAAGGGACUAACAACAAAGGACAUGAGUUACAAUCGAUGCAAAGGGCUACAACCACAGAUAACUAAACAGACUUCAGAAGAAAAUAAUAAAAGACCAGAAAGCUAUAAAAUUAUUAAUUUGACUUUCAGUGCCGAGAAUAUUGACAACACUGAUAAUAAAAGCAGUAACGGAAAUAAAAAUUGUGGUCAACAUGUCGAAGCUCAAGAUUAUAAGCAUUACAAUGACCUUAACAACAUAGUCAAUAACAAAGUAAUGAAAACGCAAUAUAAUAUUAACGAUAGCGAACGCAGCAGCAGCAAAAAUAAUUUUUUUUCUUCAAACAUAUCGCAGGUAACCAGUAUUACUGACGAUGAAGAUACGUAUAUAGGCGAAUACAAGGAUAGUAGUGAUGGGAAUGCACUAGAUCUAAAUGAUAAUAAUGAGACCAAACAAAACCCAUCAACUAGAAAUGAAAGAAUAACAGCAAACAGUAGCAGCACAUCUUGUACAUUAACAACCAGUACAACGCAUACGCAAUUAACUAAUGCACAUGAAAAAUAUAUUAUUCAGCAAAUAUUCAAUUGUAAUCAAAUAACUGAAGGAAUCGUCUUGACAACGUGAAACUAUCUCAAAUCUUCCAGUCACACCAUUCGGCAUGGUAAGGCAUACCGAUGAACAUUCGAACAUGACAUACAAGGUGCAUUCCAAAGUAAACAGAUAAUUUCUCUAGUGACGGGUUCGAAUAAUUGGACGGCUACGAUGACUAACAAUAAAAACAUGGUCAUAUAAUGAAAAUCGGUUAUAAGAGAAAUCUGCCAAGCGGAGUGAUAAAUACAAAACAUACUAAAAGUUAAAAGGAUUUAUUGCAAAGAAUACUCGCAACAUGUUUUAUGAUAACAAAAAAACUUAUACUAAAAGACAGAUACACAUAGUUCCUAUUUUAAAAAAAAAAUUAAAAAUAAAUAAAAAAAUAAAAUAAAAUAAAGUAACAUUAGUAACGUAAUUUAAAAUCUAACACCUCGAUUUAUAAAGAAGAAAAUAUUACAUUAUUCAAUAUAAAGCGGCUGAUAUACACGUGAAAAUAUACAUAGAAACACACAAAAUUUAUGUUAGUUGCAGUUACGCAUUAAUAAGCGAAAAUAAGAAUAUAAAUAAAGAAAAGUAGGAAAAACAAACAUUGAUAUGGAAGCGCCAAAGAGUGACACAAUCAAAGUGUGCUUCAAUAGAUAUGAAUGAGAAUAUAUUACAAUAUUUUGAGUGUUGUGUAAUUAACACGUAAUAUGUAUUAAAGGAACCAAGAUUUAAUUAUCUAAAAAUUAAGGCUGGGGUCUCAAUCAGUCAUAACCAAAACGAAAAGAAACAAACAAACGUGUAUUACAAUAAAUUAAAAGGAUAAAAUUUUAGUGAAAAUAAACGAAAACUAACAUAAAAUAAAUUUUCGAAAAAUAUGCAACAAAGUUCCUAGCAUUUUAGUGUGCUACAUACUAUUUUGCCUAUGUUUAUUCCUUUAUUAAAUUAAAGCUGAAGAUCUGGCUAAUUUAAAUGUCUUGUAAUGUUGAAAGGUAAUCAAUUACGCAAAAACCAACAACGCAGAGUGGUCAGUUAAAUUAAGCAAUUUAUAUUUAUAACUUGUAACUAUUAAAGAAGGUAUUUAUUUGAAAAUAUAAUGAAACAAUGGUCGAAUAUAUUGAUUAAGUUAAUUAUACAAUAUAUAGUAAACUACAUCCUGUAAAACUUAUCUCCAUGAACGCCCUUGCGAAGUAUAAUAAAGUAUCAGCAUUACAAACCAUUA
RNA transcript from Bactrocera neohumeralis, 14190 nucleotides. It is a transcript of the gene named zinc finger protein 2, with no coding region annotated. NCBI's taxonomy places the organism in Eukaryota, Metazoa, Arthropoda, Insecta, Diptera, Tephritidae. The record is from RefSeq and is a predicted model, not a curated record. The transcript is spliced from 16 exons.